GCGUGAUCAACUGCCCUUUAAUUGGGGGCCUGACGAACGGAUUUUCGAAAGUCUAACUGUCUCCUUUUAAGACAUAGAAAUUAGCCCUCAGGUGAAAAUACCUGAAUUUACAUACAAGACAAAAAGACCCCGUAGAGCUCAGUUUUACCCGACAAAGAACCCUGUAUUAAACUAAAUACACACAGCUAUGCGUAAUAACUUAACUGGGACGGUUAAGGAAAAUCUAAACAUCCUCUUCAUAAAAUAACCCGGACACACCCCCACACAUGAUCGACCCCACAACAACGUUCAAAGGAAUAGCUACCUCGGGGAUAACAGACUAAUUUUUCUUGAGAGUUCGCAUUGACAGAAAAGUUUGGCACAUCGAUGUUGGCUUAGGAGAUCCCAAGGGUCAGUAGCAGCCCUUAUGAGCAGGUUUGUUCAACCUUUAAACCCC
This 436-nucleotide ribosomal RNA is filed under the name Ampharetidae sp. 016-BGR-0027. Its description in RNAcentral is "partial 16S ribosomal RNA". It matches the Rfam family "Bacterial large subunit ribosomal RNA", at positions 1959 to 2596 of the family's 2925-position model. The record is from RNAcentral. Lineage: Eukaryota; Metazoa; Annelida; Polychaeta; Terebellida; Ampharetidae.